AUUGAACGCUGGCGGCAUGCCUUACACAUGCAAGUCGAACGGCAGCACGGGAGCAAUCCUGGUGGCGAGUGGCGAACGGGUGAGUAAUAUAUCGGAACGUGCCCAGUCGUGGGGAUAACGUAGCGAAAGCUACGCUAAUACCGCAUACGAUCUAUGGAUGAAAGCGGGGGAUCGCAAGACCUCGCGCGAUUGGAGCGGCCGAUAUCAGAUUAGUAGUUGGUGAGGUAAAGGCUCACCAAGCCGACGAUCUGUAGCUGGUCUGAGAGGACGACCAG
Molecule: ribosomal RNA, 275 nt
Filed under: uncultured bacterium
Lineage: Bacteria
Description: partial 16S ribosomal RNA
Rfam family: Bacterial small subunit ribosomal RNA
Source: RNAcentral